UACGUAGGGUGCAAGCGUUGUCCGGAAUUAUUGGGCGUAAAGAGCUCGUAGGCGGUCUGUCGCGUCUGCUGUGAAAACUCAGGGCUUAACCCUGAGCUUGCAGUGGGUACGGGCAGACUAGAGUGCGGUAGGGGAGACUGGAAUUCCUGGUGUAGCGGUGAAAUGCGCAGAUAUCAGGAGGAACACCGGUGGCGAAGGCGGGUCUCUGGGCCGUAACUGACGCUGAGAAGCGAAAGCAUGGGGAGCGAACAGG
Molecule: ribosomal RNA, 253 nt
Filed under: uncultured bacterium
Lineage: Bacteria
Description: partial 16S ribosomal RNA
Rfam family: Bacterial small subunit ribosomal RNA
Source: RNAcentral